AGAGUUUGAUCAUGGCUCAGAACGUACGCUGGCGGCACGCCUAACACAUGCAAGUCGAACGAAGUAGCAAUACUUAGUGGCAGACGGGUGAGUAACAUGUGGGUAUCUGCCCUUUGGCCUGGAAUAACACGAGGAAACUUGUGCUAAUACCGGAUAAGUCUUUACGGAGAAAGCUUUAUGCACCAUUGGAUGAGCCCGCACUUGAUUAGUUUGUUGGUGGGGUAAUGGCCUACCAAGACUGUGAUCAAUAGCUGAUUUGAGAGGAUGAUCAGCCACAUUGGGACUGAGACACGGCCCAAACUCCUACGGGAGGCAGCAGUGGGGAAUCUUGCACAAUGGAGGAAACUCUGAUGCAGCGAUGCCGCGUGAGUGAAGAAGGCCUUUGGGUUGUAAAGCUCUUUCGUCGGGGAAGAAAAUGACUGUACCCGAAUAAGAAGGUCCGGCUAACUUCGUGCCAGCAGCCGCGGUAAUACGAAGGGACCUAGCGUAGUUCGGAAUUACUGGGCUUAAAGAGUUCGUAGGUGGUUGAAAAAGUUGGUGGUGAAAUCCCAGAGCUUAACUCUGGAACUGCCAUCAAAACUUUUCAGCUAGAGUUUGAUAGAGGAAAGCAGAAUUUCUAGUGUAGAGGUGAAAUUCGUAGAUAUUAGAAAGAAUACCAAUUGCGAAGGCAGCUUUCUGGAUCAUUACUGACACCGAGGAACGAAAGCAUGGGUAGCGAAGAGGAUUAGAUACCCUCGUAGUCCAUGCCGUAAACGAUGUGUGUUAGACGUUGGAAAUUUAUUUUCAGUGUCGCAGCGAAAGCGAUAAACACACCGCCUGGGGAGUACGACCGCAAGGUUAAAACUCAAAUGAAUUGACGGGGACCCGCACAAGUAGUGGAGCAUGUGGUUUAAUUCGAAGAUACGCGCAGAACCUUACCAACACUUGACAUGUUCGUCGCGACUUUAAGAGAUUAAAGUUUUCGGUUCGGCCGGACGAAACACAGGUGCUGCAUGGCUGUCGUCAGCUCGUGUCGUGAGAUGUUGGGUUAAGUCCCGCAACGAGCGCAACCCUCACUUUUAGUUGCCAUCAUUUAGUUGGGCACUCUGAAAGAACUGCCAGUGAUAAGCUGGAGGAAGGUGGGGAUGACGUCAAGUCCUCAUGGCCCUUACGUGUUGGGCUACACACGUGCUACAAUGGUAUCUACAACAGGAAGCAAAACAGCGAUGUUAAGCAAAUCCUUAAAAGAUACCUCAGUUCGGAUUGCACUCUGCAACUCGAGUGCAUGAAGCUGGAAUUACUAGUAAUCGUGGAUCAGCGUGCCACGGUGAAUGCGUUCCCGGGUCUUGUACACACCGCCCGUCACACCAUGGGAGUUGGUUCUACCUUAAGGCAAGGUUUAAUACCCUUGACCACGGUAUAGUCAGCGACUGGGGUGAAGUCGUAACAAGGUAA
This 1434-nucleotide ribosomal RNA is filed under the name uncultured Alphaproteobacteria bacterium. RNAcentral's name for it is "bacterial SSU rRNA". It matches the Rfam family "Bacterial small subunit ribosomal RNA". The record is from RNAcentral. Lineage: Bacteria; Pseudomonadati; Pseudomonadota; Alphaproteobacteria.